AGUUAGCGGCGGACGGGUGAGUAACACGUGGGUAACCUGCCCAUAAGACUGGGAUAACUCCGGGAAACCGGGGCUAAUACCGGAUAACAUUUUGCGCCUCAUGGCGCGAAAUUGAAAGGCGGCUUCGGCUGUCACUUAUGGAUGGACCCGCGUCGCAUUAGCUAGUUGGUGAGGUAACGGCUCACCAAGGCGACGAUGCGUAGCCGACCUGAGAGGGUGAUCGGCCACACUGGGACUGAGACACGGCCCAGACUCCUACGGGAGGCAGCAGUAGGGAAUCUUCCGCAAUGGACGAAAGUCUGACGGAGCAACGCCGCGUGAGUGAUGAAGGCUUUCGGGUCGUAAAACUCUGUUGUUAGGGAAGAACAAGUGCUAGUUGAAUAAGCUGGCACCUUGACGGUACCUAACCAGAAAGCCACGGCUAACUACGUGCCAGCAGCCGCGGUAAUACGUAGGUGGCAAGCGUUAUCCGGAAUUAUUGGGCGUAAAGCGCGCGCAGGUGGUUUCUUAAGUCUGAUGUGAAAGCCCACGGCUCAACCGUGGAGGGUCAUUGGAAACUGGGAGAACUUGAGUGCAGAAGAAGGAAAGUGGAAUUCCAUGGUGUAGCGGUGAAAAUGCGUAAAGAUUUGGAGGAAACC
RNAcentral lists this ribosomal RNA (638 nucleotides) under Bacillus bingmayongensis. RNAcentral describes it as "bacterial SSU rRNA". It matches the Rfam family "Bacterial small subunit ribosomal RNA", at positions 90 to 709 of the family's 1533-position model. The record is from RNAcentral. Lineage: Bacteria; Bacillati; Bacillota; Bacilli; Caryophanales; Bacillaceae.